AUACGUAGGUGGCGAGCGUUGUCCGGAAUUACUGGGCGUAAAGGAUGCGUAGGUGGAUAUUUAAGUGGGAUGUGAAAUCCCCGGGCUCAACCCGGGAACUGCAUUCCAAACUGGGUAUCUAGAGUGCAGGAGAGGAAAGCGGAAUUCCUAGUGUAGCGGUGAAAUGCGUAGAUAUUAGGAGGAACACCAGUGGCGAAGGCGGUUUUCUGGACGUUAACUGACACUGAGGCAUGAAAGCGUGGGUAGCAAACAGGAUUAGAUCCCCUGGUAGUCCACGCCGUAAACGAUGGGUACUAGGUGUAGGAGGUAUCGACCCCUUCUGUGCCGUCGUUAACACAAUAAGUACCCCGCCUGGGGAGUACGGUCGCAAGACUAAAACUCAAAUGAAUUGGCGGGG
Molecule: ribosomal RNA, 397 nt
Filed under: uncultured bacterium
Lineage: Bacteria
Description: partial 16S ribosomal RNA
Rfam family: Bacterial small subunit ribosomal RNA
Source: RNAcentral